AAUCAUUACUUCAUUUAAUAAUAAAACCUUAUAUUAUACUCAUAUAUAUUUUUAUGUGUCAAUUCAUAGUUGUGUGUAUAUAUAUAUACACAUGACAUGAGAAAGGCACAUUUGUGCUAUUUCUGAACUCUUUUUUACCUACCCUUGCCUGGCCUUCUCCUCCACUGAAGAGUUCACUUCCCUCUAGCUAAGCUAAUCGUGUUUCAAAGAUGGCCAGGAUUGCCUUUGGUCGCUUUGAUGAUUCUUUUAGUUUAGGCUCUUUUAAAGCCUAUCUUGCUGAAUUUAUCUCAACCUUGCUCUUUGUUUUUGCUGGUGUUGGUUCAGCUAUUGCUUACAGUCAGUUCUAUAUCUCGAACUAAUCUACCUAUUUGCAUUAUCUAAUUAAUUACCCAUUUUUUAGUUACUAAUUCUUGAUAUUAUUAGUCUUGCAACGUAUAAUUAUAUAGGGUUUUUCUUCUCUUUGUUACAGAUAAAUUGACAAACAAUGCAGCUCUUGAUCCCGCUGGUCUAGUAGCCAUUGCUAUUUGCCAUGGAUUUGCUCUCUUUGUUGCAGUUUCCGUUGGAGCCAACAUCUCCGGUGGCCAUGUUAACCCUGCUGUUACCUUUGGCUUGGCUCUUGGUGGCCAAAUCACCAUUCUCACUGGCAUCUUCUACUGGAUUGCCCAGCUUCUUGGCUCCAUUGUUGCCUGCUUCCUUCUCAAAUUUGUCACUGGAGACUUGGUAAGUUCCAUGUCCAUGAACGCCAUCGUUUAUACAAGUAAUCCAUGACUUCUAUAUUCUCGUAAUAUCAAGAUUCUUGUGCAAGUAAAACCAAGUGUAGUUUUAAGUUUUAACAUUUUCUUUCCUAAUUCGACCGCAAACAUGAUAAUACAAUAAUUUCUGCCAUGGGUUGACAAUGCUUUUAACAUUUUAUAAUAUGCUUAGCUUAAUGAGGCGAGUCAGUCUUUUUCCAUUCCCCAAUUUUUUUAAUCAGAGUUUUAGUAUUAAAGUUGGACAUAAAAGACACUAAAUUUUUUAAUCGGAUUUUUAAUAUUAAAGGGAGAACUCAUGUUCCAUAAAGUGGGAGAGACAACCAUGAAUCCUAAAGAGUUUAGUUUAGAUCAUAAAAUAGACAAAAAAAAAUACCCGAUCAAUAAAAAAAAUUAAUUUUGACAUCAUACUUUAUCUUUAAUUUUUUUUUUUAAAUAUGAAUGAUGAAUGCUUAAUAAAAUACAUAAAAAUUGCCCCAUAGUACUAUUUUCCCUAAUACUUAGAAAAAGAAUAAAGUUAAUAUAUUUUUAAAUCAUAUCACUACUUUUUUUGUGCAAUCAACUACGGGUUAAACAAGCUUAAUUAAUUACCUUAGGAUCAUUUGUACGUAAUUAUCAUUAAUUGACUAUGUAAAGUUGUAAACUUUUUUUUUUCUUCUUUUCAGCCUAUCCCCACCCACAGCGUUGCCGCCGGAGUUGGAGCCAUCGAAGGAGUGGUUAUGGAGAUUGUAAUCACAUUUGCUUUGGU
This 1497-nucleotide unclassified non-coding RNA is filed under the name Hevea brasiliensis (rubber tree). Lineage: Eukaryota; Viridiplantae; Streptophyta; Magnoliopsida; Malpighiales; Euphorbiaceae. The record is from RNAcentral.